CGGGAGCCGCUUCCUUGGGAAGCAUUUUCCAGAAGCCACAGGAUGCCCAGCCUCAUCCCAAGAGUCCCUCCAAGGAAGUAUACUUCAAAAGCUACUGUGAAGGACAGUUUCCUGGAGCAUUUACAGGCCAACUGACCAGUUGGAGUGUUUUCCAGCCUGAGACUUUCAGCAUUUGGCUUUGAAGUACUCAUUCCCAAGGCAUAUGUGAGAACUUUGUAGAUGGGCAUGCCUGAACUCCGUCUAUGCUCUGUGUUCUAGACAGAGAUCAUGCACCAAGUUGCCCAAGUUUUUCCUCAUCCUCUUAUGCGACUUCCUGCCAUCAUCCACUGUGAGCCCCAGGAACCCAGUAAGCCCUCUCCAUGCUUGGGCUGAAUCUCACCGGAUCAGGCAUUUGGAUGUCAAAUGUGCUGUCCAGAGCUGAGAGCAGAUCAUAUGAUGUCUGAACAAGUCUCUCACCUUAGGCCCAGUGAGGUUUUGCUCUCCUAGAGACCUUGUGAUGGGGCACUGCCGGAUCUGUUCCUGCCGUAACUGCAGACAUUAAACCAAACCAAUCACACACAUGGUUGAUGGCACCAAACAGAUAGCGUGUAUCCUGGUCAUGCCUCUUUGUCUCUUCUGCUAGCAGACUCUUGAUCAAACACCACUCUUUUCCUUUUUUUGAGACAGAUUCUCACCAUGUGUGGCUGGUCUUGAACUUGCUAUCAGAGGUCACCCUCCAGGCACAGCCUUUGAUUCACAAGGGUUACACAUAUACUACCAUCUGUGGGUUUUAUCCUUCAUUAUACUUCAAUGAGAAUCAGUCAUUGAAAUUUACACUUAACAUAAAAACUUUUUUAAAA
Molecule: long non-coding RNA, 839 nt
Organism: Mus musculus (house mouse)
Lineage: Eukaryota; Metazoa; Chordata; Mammalia; Rodentia; Muridae
Product: predicted gene, 36086
Exons: 3
Source: RefSeq, a predicted model, not a curated record